UUAUGUUCCAGGAUGUUGCUGACUUACCGGAUGUCUGUUGAGGCUCUUUCAGCAUCACAUCAGAAGCCAGAAGCUUGGUGUACAUGUACAGGUGGCCAGGAAGCAUGGGACAAGCUGCCAUGAGAUGAAUGGGUGUACUUUAUACAUUUGCAGACCAAUGCAAUGUAGAAUAAAGUUCUCAGAAGAAGGACUUUUGCAGCAAUUAUGCAGAAAAGAAAAAUACCUUGUACAUCUAUAGAUCAUCGCUCAUUGCAGAUAGGACUUUAUCAUGGUCAAAGACCAGCAGAAAGUGCAAACACCUCUGCUGACAACAUAACGUGCCUUCCAGCUGGCCCCUUCAGACCAUGUCAAAUGAAGUUUACUGUGCCUGUGAACAACUUACCUUGCCUGCUCUGUGCAAGUGUCGCAUGAAAAAGGUCACCAUCAGGAGCCAUUUCUAGCACAAUGGACACCUUCUCCUUGAAGUUGGGGACCUUUGACACUCCAAAAGUCCCUGGUUCUGAAGAGAGUGGGGCAGAAAGGUAUGUGGCAUGAAGCAUGUGGAUGUCACUUGCCCUGCUUUUGGUGGUUUGAAGUGCUUCCUGCCAUUGUGGUUUCAACACAGCCUAAACGCAAUUUGCUCUCCUUCAAACAUGGGUGGUAGAGAAGAUAGACUUGGAAACCAGUCUAUGUUUCACUUUGAAAGCCACGCAGUCACCACUAUGUGCUGUCAUAAAGA
This 718-nucleotide long non-coding RNA is filed under the name Salvator merianae (Argentine black and white tegu). RNAcentral's name for it is "lncRNA (ENSSMRG00000003333.1)". The record is from RNAcentral. Lineage: Eukaryota; Metazoa; Chordata; Lepidosauria; Squamata; Teiidae.